RNAcentral lists this ribosomal RNA (472 nucleotides) under Conotrachelus sp. SPN-016. Its description in RNAcentral is "partial 16S ribosomal RNA". It matches the Rfam family "Bacterial large subunit ribosomal RNA", at positions 1803 to 2542 of the family's 2925-position model. The record is from RNAcentral. Lineage: Eukaryota; Metazoa; Arthropoda; Insecta; Coleoptera; Curculionidae.
UUUAACAAAAACAUGUCUUUUUGAUUAUAAUUUAAAGUCUGGCCUGCCCAAUGAAUAAAAGGUUUUAAUGGCCGCGGUAUAUUGACUGUGCAAAGGUAGCAUAAUCAUUAGUUUUUUAAUUGAAAGCUGGAAUGAAAGGUUGAAUGAAAAAGUAGCUGUCUCUAAUUAAGUAAAUUUGAAUUUUAUUUUUAAGUUAAAAAGCUUAAAUAGAAGUAAAAGACGAGAAGACCCUAUAGAGUUUUAUAUUUAGUAAAAAUUUAAUAUUUAGUAUUUUAUCUCUUUUAUUUUUAUUGAAUAUUUGAUUGGGGUGAUUAAAAAAUUAAAUUAACUUUUUUUUAUAUUUACAUUAAUUAAUGAAUAUUUGAUCCUUAAAUAAAGAUUAAAAGAAUAAAUUACCUUAGGGAUAACAGCGUAAUUUUUUUUGAGAGUUCGAAUCGAAAAAAAAGAUUGCGACCUCGAUGUUGGAUUAAAA